GAUCCUGGCUCAGGACGAACGCUGGCGGCGUGCCUAACACAUGCAAGUCGAGCGGAGACAGUGAGUAGCUUGCUACGAACUGUUUUAGCGGCGGACGGGUGAGUAACGCGUGAGCAACCUUUCCCAGACAGGGGAAUAACACACCGAAAGGUGUACUAAUACCGGAUAGUAUCGAGAGAUUGCAUGAUUACCCGAUUAAAGAUUCAUCGGUAACGGAUGGGGAUGCGUUCCAUUAGGCAGUUGGCGGGG
This 249-nucleotide ribosomal RNA is filed under the name uncultured bacterium. RNAcentral describes it as "partial 16S ribosomal RNA". It matches the Rfam family "Bacterial small subunit ribosomal RNA", at positions 15 to 257 of the family's 1533-position model. The record is from RNAcentral.